CUACGAUCCAAGACGAAGGAGACGUUCGGGUGCAGUGCCGCAGCGGUGCGUUACGCGUGGGAAUCUGCCCUUGGGUUCGCAAAAACAGUAAGAAAUGACUCCUAAUACCGGAUGAUGUCUUCCGACCAAAGAUUUAUCGCCCAGGGAUGACCCCGCGUAGGAUUAGCUUGUUGGUGAGGUAAAAGCUCACCAAGGCGACGAUCUUUAGCUGGUCUGAGAGGAUGAUCAGCCACACUGGGACUGAGACACGGCCCAGACUCCUACGGGAGGCAGCAGUGGGGAAUAUUGGACAAUGGGCGAAAGCCUGAUCCAGCAAUGCCGCGUGAGUGAUAAAGGCCUUAGGGUUGUAAAGCUCUUUUACCGGGGAUGAUAAUGACAGUACCGGGAGAAUAAGCCCCGGCUAACUCCGUGCCAGCAGCCGCCGUAAUACGGAGGGGCCUAGCGUUGUUCGGAAUUACUGGGCGUAAAGCGCGCGAAGGCGGCUUUGUAGGUUAGAGGUGAAAGCCCGGAGCUCAACUCCGGAACUACCUUUAAGACUGCAUCGCGAGAACGAUGGAGAGGUAAGUGGAAUUCCGAGUGUAGAGGUGAAAUUCGUAGAUAUUCGGAAGAACACCAGUGGCGAAGGCGACUUACUGGACAUCUGUUGACGCUGAGGUGCGAAAGCGUGGGCUGCAAUCAGGAUUAGAUACCCGCGUAGUCCACGCCGUAAACGAUGAUAACUAGCUGUCACGGCUCAUGGAGAUUAGGUGGCGCAGCUUACGCGUUACGUUAUCCGCCUCCGGAGUACGGCCGCUAGGAUAAAACUCAAAGAAAUUGACGG
This 820-nucleotide ribosomal RNA is filed under the name Sphingomonas sp. Its description in RNAcentral is "bacterial SSU rRNA". It matches the Rfam family "Bacterial small subunit ribosomal RNA", at positions 69 to 916 of the family's 1533-position model. The record is from RNAcentral. Lineage: Bacteria; Pseudomonadati; Pseudomonadota; Alphaproteobacteria; Sphingomonadales; Sphingomonadaceae.